GAUGAACGCUGGCGGCGUGCCUAAUACAUGCAAGUCGAGCGAACGGACGAGAAGCUUGCUUCUCUGAUGUUAGCGGCGGACGGGUGAGUAACACGUGGAUAACCUGCCUAUAAGACUGGGAUAACUUCGGGAAACCGUAGCUAAUACCGGAUAAUAUUUUGAACCGCAUGGUUCAAAAGUGAAAGACGGUCUUGCUGUCACUUAUAGAUGGAUCCGCGCUGCAUUAGCUAGUUGGUAAGGUAACGGCUUACCAAGGCAACGAUGCAUAGCCGACCUGAGAGGGUGAUCGGCCACACUGGAACUGAGACACGGUCCAGACUCCUACGGGAGGCAGCAGUAGGGAAUCUUCCGCAAUGGGCGAAAGCCUGACGGAGCAACGCCGCGUGAGUGAUGAAGGUCUUCGGAUCGUAAAACUCUGUUAUUAGGGAAGAACAUAUGUGUAAGUAACUGUGCACAUCUUGACGGUACCUAAUCAGAAAGCCACGGCUAACUACGUG
Molecule: ribosomal RNA, 497 nt
Filed under: uncultured bacterium
Lineage: Bacteria
Description: partial 16S ribosomal RNA
Rfam family: Bacterial small subunit ribosomal RNA
Source: RNAcentral